This 436-nucleotide ribosomal RNA is filed under the name uncultured bacterium. Its description in RNAcentral is "partial 16S ribosomal RNA". It matches the Rfam family "Bacterial small subunit ribosomal RNA", at positions 341 to 792 of the family's 1533-position model. The record is from RNAcentral.
ACGGGAGGCAGCAGUGGGGAAUAUUGGGCAAUGGGCGAAAGCCUGACCCAGCAACGCCGCGUGAAGGAAGAAGGUCUUCGGAUUGUAAACUUCUUUUAUGAGGGACGAAACAAAUGACGGUACCUCAUGAAUAAGCCACGGCUAACUACGUGCCAGCAGCCGCGGUAAUACGAAGGAUCCGAGCGUUAUCCGGAUUUAUUGGGUUUAAAGGGUGCGCAGGCGGCUUUCUAAGUCAGUGGUUAAAUAGCGGUGCUCAACGCCGUCCCGCCAUUGAUACUGGAGAGCUUGAUUGCGGUCGAGGUUUGCGGAAUUCGUCGUGUAGCGGUGAAAUGCAUAGAUAUGACGAAGAACACCGAUUGCGUAGGCAGCAGACCAGGCCGUAAAUGACGCUCAUGCACGAAAGUGCGGGGAUCGAACAGGAUUAGAUACCCUGGUA